CGGGAUAGCUCAGCUGGUAGAGGAGAGAUGAA
RNAcentral lists this transfer RNA (32 nucleotides) under Colubrina asiatica. Its description in RNAcentral is "partial transfer RNA-Phe". The record is from RNAcentral. Lineage: Eukaryota; Viridiplantae; Streptophyta; Magnoliopsida; Rosales; Rhamnaceae.